UUUUCACGCUGCGGUUUCGCCUGUC
RNAcentral lists this non-coding RNA (25 nucleotides) under Drosophila melanogaster (fruit fly). Lineage: Eukaryota; Metazoa; Arthropoda; Insecta; Diptera; Drosophilidae. The record is from RNAcentral.